AAUACGAGACGCUAAGUCGUCGAAGUAGUGUAUGUCAUACUUCCAAGAAAAGCUUGCACUGUCAUAGAUAAAAAACGCCUGUACCAUAACCGACACAGGUGGGUAGGUAGAGUAUACUAAGGGGCGCGAGAUAACUCUCUCUAAGGAACUCGGCAAAAUAACUCCGUAACUUCGGGAGAAGGAGUGCCUUAUUCGUAAGGUUGCAAUAACAAGAUCCAAGCAACUGUUUAUCAAAAACACAGGUCUCCGCUAAGUCGUAAGACGAUGUAUGGGGGCUGACGCCUGCCCAGUGCCAGAAGGUUAAAAGAAGUUGGUUAGCAAUUGCGAAGCUGAUAACUGAAGCCCUGGUGAACGGCGGCCGUAACUAUAACGGUCCUAAGGUAGCGAAAUUCCUUGUCGGGUAAGUUCCGACCCGCACGAAAGGCGUAAUGAUUUGGAUACUGUCUCGGAGAGGGGCUCGGUGAAAUAGACUUGUCUGUGAAGAUGCGGACUACCUGCACCAGGACAGAAAGACCCUAUGAAGCUUUACUGUAACUUGAAAUUGAAAUUGGACUUUAUUCGCGCAGUAUAGGUGGGAGGCGUUGAUUAUAAUCUUGUGGGAUUAUUGGAGCCAUCAGUGAGAUACCACUCUUGUAAUGUUAGAUUUCUAACUUUGAAUCAUUAUCUGGUCAAAGAACAGUUUCAGGCGGGCAGUUUGACUGGGGCGGUCGCCUCCUAAACGGUAACGGAGGCGUACAAAGGUUUCCUCUGAACGGUUAGAAAUCGUAUCUAGAGUGUAAAGGCAUAAGGAAGCUUGACUGUGAGACCUACAAGUCGAGCAGGGACGAAAGUCGGUCUUAGUGAUCUGACGGUACUGAGUGGAAAGGCCGUCACUCAACGGAUAAAAGUUACUCUAGGAUAACAGGCUGAUCUCCCCCAAGAGUUCACAUCGACGGGGAGGUUUGGCACCUCGAUGUCGGCUCACCGCAUCCUGGGGCGGUAGUACGUCCCAAGGGUUGGGCUGUUCGCCCAUGAAAGCGGUACGCGAGCUGGGUUCAGAACGUCGUGAGAUAGUUCGGUCCAUAUCCGGUGUAGGCGUUAGAAUAUUGAGAGGAGCCUUCUUUAGUACGAGAGGACCGAGAAGGACAUACCUCUGGUGUACCAGUUAUCGUGCCAACGGUAAACGCUGGGUAGCUAUGCAUGGAGUGGAUAACCGCUGAAAGCAUCUAAGUGGGAAGCCCACCUCAAGAUAAGUAUUCUCAU
Molecule: ribosomal RNA, 1242 nt
Filed under: metagenome
Description: bacterial LSU rRNA
Rfam family: Bacterial large subunit ribosomal RNA
Source: RNAcentral